Molecule: long non-coding RNA, 642 nt
Filed under: Elaeis guineensis (African oil palm)
Lineage: Eukaryota; Viridiplantae; Streptophyta; Magnoliopsida; Arecales; Arecaceae
Description: long non-coding RNA (EGUI_LNC053425)
Source: RNAcentral
GUAAAUGCAGCAAUUUACUGAAUAGAUCUAUUUAAUUUUCACAUGGAUUUUGGUGAUCAAUUCAUGUUGGAAAUGUUUGUUAUGUAGUAAUUUACAAGAUGAUGAAAUCUUCUGAGCAGUCCCACCAAGACUAUUGCCACUAUCAAUAGCUAUAGUUGGAUCCACUGGUGGAUCCAUCAACAGACAAUGACCAAAUUUAAACUUGGUCUUUAGAUGAACAGAUUGUGGAAAAGGUGAGAAACAAGAGAAAGGAAUAAAAGCCAAAAAGUCCCAUUUUCAUGUGUUUAUGCUCUUGCAUAUAUAUAUAUAAUACGAGCAUCCGCAUAUACACGUGGCUGCCACAGAUCACUUCGAUCGCCACCCAACAUUUGAUGUCCAGAAAAUGGAUAUGUGGCACAAACAGAGUAGGAGGCGUAUGUCAUGUUCCAAAGGCUGCUAGACUCCUCUUUAAUAUAGUAGUAUAGAUUUAGAGAGAUGAGUUCCGAGAUUUCUUCUCAUCUCAUGAAGCUAUUCUGUAGAAUCUCCGCUAUCUGCCUAGCUUUUCCUCCACCCACGCCUGUCCUCAAGGCAUUUGUGUGAAGCAACAACAUAGAGCUUGAUGCCAUGUACACUUUCUUCUUUUGGUAAAUAUAGCACCCGUGC